UGGGCCUCGGGCCGUGCUUGGCUUGAGUCCUGGCUCGCUGAACUUUUACUAGCUGCUACUUUGUUGAUUCACUGGUUUUCAGUUAUUUCUAACUUUGACACGCAUGUGUUAAUAUAUAAAAGGUUCCUUUCUGGCCAUGUUGAAACCCUUGUGUGCCUUGGCAGGAAUUUAUGUGGAAGGUUUCUGUGGAAGGAGGUGAUCUCUGGCAGGUGAAGAGUCCCAGAGUCCAGAACAGACACCCUGACGCUCCGGCUCACCUUCUGCCCAUCCUCUGCACUGUGUGAGGACAAAGGCAGACCUCGUCACCCACCAGCUGGCCAUGGCGUUCUCCUGGUGAACAGACAUGCCUGGACCGUCGGCCUCACUCAGGGCCAUGACAUGACCAGGAGGGAGCAAGACAAAAACAGCCCCAACCAGUUAGCAUGUCUGGGCAGGGACAAAAUACAGACCUCGUCCACACCACAGGGUACCAACCAGCCCCCUCUCUCAGCCCAUCUAAGUGACUGCUGCUUCUUUACAAAUGGCAGCUGUAGUCUUGUUCAAAAGCUCCUGUAGGACACCAGUCAUAGAAUUACCCCUGCCUGGCAACGAAUAAUCUGGAUGAAAUGACUGCUUCUUUACCCACCCACAAACUGAACAAACAUGAGUGCAAAUCCUUUGAGAAGGCCCUUCUGACACCUUCUUACCGAAAUGUUCCCAAGUUCCGUUUUGAAACUCAUCUCUAGAUAAAAGGAGUAAUAAAUCCAAUAUUUGUUCAUUUACAAGCAUGUUUCUGAGUCUUUUGCUGGUGAUCACUGAUGUGUAUGCAUAAAUAUGAACAUGUGCAUGUGUAUAAAGGCAUGGAUGUCAUUCUAUUCUAUCAACCUGAAUCUGUGCUCUCAAGUUUUUAACACAACUUCAGGCCAUCAGAUCAAAAGGUAAACUCCCCAGCGAGGACGGACAAGCCAGGGCGGGCUGGGCUGCGGAACCCGCACACACUGCUGGCUGCAUCUGGGGGGUACGGGAGGAGAACCUGCCCUGAUCAGCUGGAGCCCCGAGGGGCGAGAGCAAGGGGGUGUCUUUGGCUGCGGUCAUUACUCCCCUGACCACUGAGGCACCCCCAGUGGGACACAGAAAAAGGCAUCAGCUGCAGAUACGCUGGGUCCUCUCGUGGGUCCUCACACCCCACCCACGGUCCUUGCUCUCGUUUCCUGCCUGCCCUCCAGUCAGCAGCAGUUCUGGCUGCACCCGUGGAGUCGGGUUCCAAUGCAGCCACGGGGGGACCCCAAGGCACAGCUCUUGGUUAAGGUGACAGAUGGAUCGGCGAGUCACAUUUCUAUCCACUGUUACCUGGACUCUGUUGUGUUCACACUAUUUUUCUGCAUGGUUAGGGGUGCAGUUUCCACAAGAAAGCAGCCAAGACUUGUGUUGUGACGGUCCCUUGCCCUUACUAGCAAAUCACAUAAAAGAUGCCAAUAUUUUUAACUUUUUCCCCCAAAUUCCACACACCAUAACAUUAUGAGCCUUCCUCUCUGGUGCUGUGUUCUCCCUCUGACCAAAAAUCAAAGGAAGCGGGCGGGUGAGAGGGGCCCCGGGCUUGUCCUCUCACUCACUCCUCAGUUUCUGAGGAGUUCCCGAUAACCCAGAGGGAAGUGAGACGAGCAGGAGAAGUCAGUCUCGCUGGGAGCUGAAAUCAGGAGGGAAAGGCAGGGUGCAGAGGGUCCAGCCCUGCGGCCUUGAGGCUCCUGGGCCCCAGAGCCAUGGGAACCCAGGACCCUGCUGCUUUUGUUUACAGGCAUGGGGACAUUUGGAUCCAGUCUGACGCUCCCCUGCCAUCACUCUUCUUCCCAUAACUGGGCUCAUGUCACUCGCAGGCUUGGUUUGGAGCUGGUGUCAUCUUUUCACUUGAGAUACAAUUCACAUUCUAUAAAAUACACUGUUUAACUGAAACCCACUGUUUCUGUUUUUUAAGUAUAUUCACAAGGCUGUGCAAACAUCCCCACUAAAUAUAGAACAUUAUCAUCACUCCCAAAUAAUCCUAUACGCAUUAGCAGUCAUGCCCCGUGCCCCGCUCCCAGUCCCUGGCAACCACCAGUCUACUUCCUGUCUCUGCGGACUUGCCUAUUCUGGGCAUUUCAUAUGAACUGAAGUGCACAGCGCGUACCCUCUGCGUCAGGGUCCUGUCACUUACAGCUCUCAAGGCUCAUGGGCACAGGAGCAGGCAUUCAGCACUUCCAGUUUUUUAAUAGCUGAAUAUUCCAUUGUACGGAUAUGGCACAUGUUGUUUAUUCAUUUAUCAGUUUAUGGACAUUUGAGUUGUCCCCACCUUUUGAUUAUGAAAAAUCCUGCUAAAAACACUCAUGUAUACAUUUUUCUGUGAACAUGUUUUCAUUUCUGGAUCCAUCAGUAGGAAUGGGAAUCCAAUUACAUGUUAACUUUAUGCUUAUCUUUUUGAGAGACUGCCAAGAUGCCUUCCAACAUAGCUGCCCACGUACAUUCCUGCCUGCAGUGUAUGAGACUCCACUUUUUCCAUAUGCUCUCGUCAUCUGUCUUUAUUCUAGUCAUACUAGUGAUGGAAAAAUGGCCUCUCACUGUAGUUUUUAUUUGCAUUUCCAUAAUGACUGAAAUUUUGAGCAUCUUUUGUGUUAUUGGUCAUCUUUCUAUCUUCCUUGGAGAAAUAUCUAUUCAAAAAUCUUGUCUGCUUUUUUAAAAUUUGGUUUAUAAGAAUUCCUUGCACAUUCCGGACACUCCACUCCACUCUUCAGCUAUGGGAUUUGCAAUUACCCUCUCCCAGGUGUGGGCUGGCUUUCAGCUUUCCCAUCAGUGUUCCUGCGAGCACUUUCAUUUUGAUGAAGUCCAGUUUAACUUUUUGAUUGCACGUGCUUUUUCUAUCCUAAGAAACCAUUGCCUACUUAAAGGACACAAAUAUCUACAUCUGUGUUUUCUUCCAAGAGUUUUAUAAUGUAGCUCUUUCAUUUAGGUAUAUUAUCCAUUUGAGAUCUUUCUUGUUUAUGAUAUUAAGUCGGGGUACAAUUUCUUUCCUUUGCAAGUGGAUGCCCACGUGCUCCAGUACCAUUUGUUAACAAGACUGUUGUAUCUCCCACUGAAUAUUCUUGGCACCUUGUCAAAUCGAUCAUAAAUAUGGACUCAUUUCUGAACUCUCAAUUCUAUUCCAUUGAACUCUUAAGUCUAUUCUUAUGCCAGUACACAGAUCUUGAUUAA
Molecule: long non-coding RNA, 3201 nt
Organism: Manis pentadactyla (Chinese pangolin)
Lineage: Eukaryota; Metazoa; Chordata; Mammalia; Pholidota; Manidae
Exons: 3
Source: RefSeq, a predicted model, not a curated record